RNAcentral lists this ribosomal RNA (253 nucleotides) under uncultured bacterium. Its description in RNAcentral is "partial 16S ribosomal RNA". It matches the Rfam family "Bacterial small subunit ribosomal RNA", at positions 524 to 776 of the family's 1533-position model. The record is from RNAcentral.
UACGUAGGGUGCAAGCGUUGUCCGGAAUUAUUGGGCGUAAAGAGCUCGUAGGCGGUUUGUCGCGUCUGCUGUGAAAACUCGGGGCUUAACUCCGGGCCUGCAGUGGGUACGGGCAGACUAGAGUGCGGUAGGGGAGACUGGAAUUCCUGGUGUAGCGGUGAAAUGCGCAGAUAUCAGGAAGAACACCAAUGGCGAAGGCAGCUCUCUGGGACGGUACUGACGCUGAGACGCGAAAGCGUGGGGAGCGAACAGG